This is a long non-coding RNA of Gallus gallus (chicken), 431 nucleotides long. NCBI's taxonomy places the organism in Eukaryota, Metazoa, Chordata, Aves, Galliformes, Phasianidae. The record is from Ensembl.
CAAAGGUCACCAGACUCAUCACCUUGUUUUGGGUAUCAUUGUGGACUGAUUUUAAUUCUCUAAUGAGCAUUUAAACUGGACUAAGUUCCAAAAACAUUGGGUGAAGCAUUCAACCAGAAUUGAAAUGAAUCCUCUCUCUUGGAAAGAAGGGUAAUUGGAAGUGUUCAAAGUUUUUGGAACAGCAAUUGACUGGAAAGAAGAGGGGAGCAUGUUGUCAGUCCAGAUGCUGAAGAAUUAAUUUUGUGUUCUGGUGUCUCAGACAAUGGGAAGAUUUCCAUUACAAGUAGAAGAGAAGAGAAUUGUGUGGCACUGAAUUCACGUAUAAAGGAAUGGCCUGGACAGAAACAGAAUACUACCCUGGUGACAAUCAAGUGUCCAUCAAAACAGGCACAACUGUGAUUAACCAAAUGCAACAUGGAUUUAAACAGUUU